GACGAGGGGUCCUAGCGUUGUUCGGAAUUACUGGGCGUAAAGGGCGCGUAGGCGGUAGCACAAGUCAGUUGUGAAAUCUCCGGGCUUAACUCGGAAAGGUCAACUGAUACUGUGCGACUAGAGUGCAGAAGGAGCAACUGGAAUUCUCGGUGUAGCGGUGAAAUGCGUAGAUAUCGAGAGGAACAACAGUGGCGAAGGCGAGUCUCUGGGCAGUAACUGACGCUGAGGAGCGAAAGCGUGGGGAGCGAACAGG
RNAcentral lists this ribosomal RNA (253 nucleotides) under uncultured bacterium. Its description in RNAcentral is "partial 16S ribosomal RNA". It matches the Rfam family "Bacterial small subunit ribosomal RNA", at positions 524 to 776 of the family's 1533-position model. The record is from RNAcentral.